RNAcentral lists this ribosomal RNA (481 nucleotides) under uncultured bacterium. RNAcentral's name for it is "partial 16S ribosomal RNA". It matches the Rfam family "Bacterial small subunit ribosomal RNA", at positions 29 to 506 of the family's 1533-position model. The record is from RNAcentral.
AUUGAACGCUGGCGGCAUGCUUUACACAUGCAAGUCGAACGGUAACAGGCCGCAAGGUUCUGACGAGUGGCGUACGGGAGUGUAAUGCAUCGGAACGUGCCCAGUCGUGGGGGCUACCUACUCGGGAGAGUAGCUAAUACCCCAGACGAUCUAUGGAUGAAAGCGGGGGAGCGUAAGGCGUCGCGGGAUUGGAGCUGCUGAUGGCAGAGUAUGUAGUUGGUGGGGUACAGGCUCACCAAGCCAACGAUCUGUAGCGGGGCUGAGACGACGACCCGGCACACUGGAACUGAGAUACGGCCCAGACUCCUACGCGAGGCAGCAGUGGGGAAUUUAGGACAAUGGGCGGAAGCGUGGUCCAGCGAUGCCGCGUGCAGGAAGAAGGCCUGCGGGUCGUGAACUGAUUUUGUACGGAACGAAACGGCGCUGGUUAAUACCCGGGGCUAAGGAGGGUACCGUAAGAAUAAGCACCGGCUAACUACGU